GGUUGACCUCGGAUCAGGUAGGAAUACCCGCUGAACUUAAGCAUAUCAAU
This 50-nucleotide ribosomal RNA is filed under the name Colletotrichum acutatum. RNAcentral's name for it is "partial 28S ribosomal RNA". The record is from RNAcentral. RNAcentral also lists the same sequence under 9 other names. Lineage: Eukaryota; Fungi; Ascomycota; Sordariomycetes; Glomerellales; Glomerellaceae.